Molecule: long non-coding RNA, 704 nt
Filed under: Panax ginseng (ginseng)
Lineage: Eukaryota; Viridiplantae; Streptophyta; Magnoliopsida; Apiales; Araliaceae
Description: long non-coding RNA (PGIN_LNC010759)
Source: RNAcentral
UACCAAUGAUUGUGCCGUCGUAUGAAUAUUCCUUGUUAAAACGAAUAUUCCCCGACUAAUCGAAUAUAAUAUAACUGUAGCAUCCCCGAAUCCGGGUCCCAAAUCGCCACGGAUCCGGUAUACUAUUUCUAUCACUAUUGCGGAAGAUAUAAACAUAAAUUGUUUAUACAUUAAACUUUUACACAUCAUUCCCAAGGUCUACAACCUUAACUUAAUACAUACCUUCAAUAUCUUAGAAGAUUUAUAAUACUAUUUUCAUCAGAAAAUUUAAUAAAUUUUACUACAACAUAAAGAAACUUUUCACUUUGUCUUUGCCUCUGCUUUAUUCAAGCCUUCAUCUUAAUCUGAAAAUUUUAUCAUGAUAUAGCAAGGGUGAGCAACAAAUUUGCCCAGCAAGUUUUACAUACAAAGGAGAUAUAUCAUGAUUGAAAAGAAUGGAUAAACUUUCAAGUUUUCAACAAUAUAAUAAUUGUGAAAUAACAUGAAUCAAUUUUUCAAUGAUUGAAUGAUUGAACCAAUAAUAAUGGAUUUCAACAAUUAACAUGAACAAGUUUAACUGAAACAUAUUGUAAUGAAGGUGACCAGCCUUUCAUACCUGAUGAACAUAUACAACAUGCACAAUGUGCGAAUCAAUAAUUUAUUGACGUGGUAAAAUCAACAAUGAUUAACCACUAACAUGCUUUGAAUUAACAACUCAAGUUGAG